UUGCCCGGUGAGGGGAGAAAUGGGAGCGAUCUGGAAGGCGUCUGCAAAACCCGGGUUGGAUUAGACAGAGAUGGGAGGAACGAAGGCAGCUGCGACAGGGCCAAAUGCACCCCGGGCACGCAAAUUUCGGGCCGGACUCUUCCUCGGGAGACGGAGUAAUGCGUCAUGCCUAAUGCAGUGGGAAUAAGCAAGACCUGGCCUAGAGCUCCCAGACCUGGGCUCGCAGGGGUCUCCGGGAGGGGGCUAUUUAGUGGCUGAGGCGGCGUGGGCUGCCCUCGUCUUCCUGGCAGCGACGUGCAAGAAGGAGGGGCAAAAGGAGGGCUGGACUCGGGCACGAAAGGAUCUGGAGCGCCGGCUGCACCGAAGCAGGCAGCAUGCAGAACUUCCCUGAACCCAUGUCCCCUGCAUCAGAAACAUGGAGCCUUAACCACCAGAACACCAGGGAAUUCCUGACCAGCAUCCUUAGAAGAGAAGAGGAAAGGACAGUGGAAAAGGCCACAUGAAGAUGGAGGCAGAAGUUGGAGUGAUGCAGUCACACAGCAAGGCACACCUGGAAAUGCCAGACGCUGGGCAGGAAACAUACUCCGUGUAUACCAGAAGACAAUAAAUUCUGCCCAAACUUCUGGCCUUGAGGAAAUCA
This is a long non-coding RNA of Bubalus bubalis (water buffalo), 640 nucleotides long. RefSeq lists it as uncharacterized. The transcript has 3 exons. The record is from RefSeq and is a predicted model, not a curated record. Lineage: Eukaryota; Metazoa; Chordata; Mammalia; Artiodactyla; Bovidae.